CUACACGCAAGGAAGCUGCGCAAAAUGUAGCCAUAUCCAGGUCCUCUACCCAAGGCAACGCCAGGUACUCCUGCACCGCCGCUGCCUUGACAGCGGCAACGAUGAAUCCCGCGCGCCGCGCCAAGAGGGAACCAAGGCUGCUCUUUUGCUAGCCUUGCCGAACCAACCCACUCUACGGCCACACCUCCACCUCUAAGUGAGUGGGAUAAAGACCGCGG
RNAcentral lists this long non-coding RNA (218 nucleotides) under Setaria viridis. RNAcentral describes it as "long non-coding RNA (SVIR_LNC004207)". The record is from RNAcentral. Lineage: Eukaryota; Viridiplantae; Streptophyta; Magnoliopsida; Poales; Poaceae.